Molecule: long non-coding RNA, 632 nt
Organism: Lathyrus oleraceus (garden pea)
Lineage: Eukaryota; Viridiplantae; Streptophyta; Magnoliopsida; Fabales; Fabaceae
Exons: 3
Source: RefSeq, a predicted model, not a curated record
GUUGAAGUCAAUUGAGGAUGUCAUAUGCCACAUGAACGAUGAGAAUGGAAAGAACGAAGACAACGGAGUGGCGAGAACGAAGAGAUGGGAACGAAGUGCUUCUCACGUAGAUUCGAAGUCUGAGAACGAAUCAACUAAGGCUAAAUUGAAAAUAGGAAGAAAACUUUACCGUAGGUGCAUUAAACCUGGUCAUAACAAGGCAACUUGCAAGUAUCCACCUCAAACAACUCAAUAAGGCCAAUCCUAGGCAACUCAGACUCAACCUCAACAAGGCCACUCUCAAGCAACUCAAUCUCAGGCAACUCAGACUAGUCAAGCACCAACUAUGACAUGUGGAUCAAGACCUGCAAAAACAAAGUCACCGACUCAAGCAAGUGGAUCAAGAACUCUAGUCAAAAAGUUGAGCAUUAGGAGACCAACAAGAAGUGUAAGAACACUUGGUCCUACAACCAAGCUUGGUGCAACAAAGAAUAUAGCAGACCCUACAACUAGGCUAGUGCAUCUCAAACAAGCAAAAAGAAAAAAUAGUUUUUUAAAAUGUUUUAGGUAUCUUUUGUAAUCCUGUUAUGGUGUCUUUUGUAAUUCUGUUUUAGGUCUUUUUGGAACCCUUGUAGGGGAAUCAUUAUGAUGUU